RNAcentral lists this small nuclear RNA (107 nucleotides) under Salvator merianae (Argentine black and white tegu). Lineage: Eukaryota; Metazoa; Chordata; Lepidosauria; Squamata; Teiidae. The record is from RNAcentral.
GUGCUUACUUUGGCAUCACAUAUACUAAAAUUGGAACGAUACAGAGAAGAUUAGCAUGGCCCCUGCACAAGGAUGACACGCAAAUUCGUGAAGCAUUCCCUAUUUAA